Molecule: transfer RNA, 77 nt
Filed under: Planctomycetota bacterium
Lineage: Bacteria; Pseudomonadati; Planctomycetota
Description: Planctomycetes bacterium (soil metagenome) tRNA-Val
Rfam family: tRNA
About the family: Transfer RNA (tRNA) molecules are approximately 80 nucleotides in length. Their secondary structure includes four short double-helical elements and three loops (D, anti-codon, and T loops).
Source: RNAcentral
GCCCGCUUAGCUCAGUUGGCUAGAGCACCACCUUGACAUGGUGGGGGUCAGAGGUUCGAGUCCUCUAGCGGGUACCA